UUUCCGUAGGUGAACCUGCGGAAGGAUCAUUACAGAGUUCAUGCCCUCACGGGUAGAUCUCCCACCCUUGAAUAUUAUACCUUCGUUGCUUUGGCAGGCCGUGGAAACACCAGAGGCUCCGGCUGAUGCGUGCCUGCCAGAGGAAACAAACUCUGUUUUUAGUGAUGUCUGAGUACUAUAUAAUAGUUAAAACUUUCAACAACGGAUCUCUUGGUUCUGGCAUCGAGAAGAACGCAGC
Molecule: unclassified non-coding RNA, 238 nt
Filed under: plant metagenome
Description: partial contains small subunit ribosomal RNA, internal transcribed spacer 1, and 5.8S ribosomal RNA
Source: RNAcentral